AGAGUUUGAUCCUGGCUCAGGACGAACGCUGGCGGCGUGCUUAACACAUGCAAGUCAUGGGGGCGGAGCAAUCCGCAACCGGCGAACGGGUGCGUAACACGUGAACAACCUGCCCUCGUGUGGGGGAUAGCCGGGCUAACGCCCGGGUAAUACCGCAUACGUUCUCGUGGGGGAGUCCCUGCGGGAGGGAAGCUCUGGCGCACGGGGAGGGGUUCGCGGCCUAUCAGCUUGUUGGCGGGGUAACGGCCCACCAAGGCGACGACGGGUAGCUGGUCUGAGAGGAUGGCCAGCCACAUUGGGACUGAGAGACGGCCCAGACUCCUACGGGAGGCAGCAGUGGGGAAUCUUGCGCAAUGGUCUAACGACUGACGCAGCGACGCCGCGUGUGGGAGGACGCCUUUCGGGGUGUAAACCACUGUUGCCCGGGACGAACAGCGCUAUUCGUGGCGUCUGACGGUACCGGGCGAGGAAGCACCGGCUAACUCCGUGCCAGCCGCCGCGGUAAUA
This 507-nucleotide ribosomal RNA is filed under the name uncultured bacterium. Its description in RNAcentral is "bacterial SSU rRNA". It matches the Rfam family "Bacterial small subunit ribosomal RNA", at positions 8 to 525 of the family's 1533-position model. The record is from RNAcentral.